Molecule: ribosomal RNA, 120 nt
Filed under: Nelumbo nucifera (sacred lotus)
Lineage: Eukaryota; Viridiplantae; Streptophyta; Magnoliopsida; Proteales; Nelumbonaceae
Source: RNAcentral
AGUUAUGAAUAUAGCGAAUCACUUAAUAUACCGGAUCCCAUUAGAAUUUCGAAGUUAAGUGUGUUUGGGCGAAUGGGGUAAUAGGAUGGAUGACCUCCCAGAAAGGUGGUAUUGUACCUU